Molecule: long non-coding RNA, 1224 nt
Organism: Phyllopteryx taeniolatus (common seadragon)
Lineage: Eukaryota; Metazoa; Chordata; Actinopteri; Syngnathiformes; Syngnathidae
Exons: 3
Source: RefSeq, a predicted model, not a curated record
CAGGCGGUAGCUGCUAAGCUACAAAGGCUAACGUAAAUAGCGGGGGCGAGGUGGGGGGGGGGGGGGGGGGGCGCCUUUCCGUGGCUCGUACGGUGAUCUGGCAGGUCGCACUUUGAUGCUCCGUCACCCGGCGGUUCGAGCGGACCCGUCCCCGGGGCGCGGGCGGUACACGCCCUCGACGGCCGCACACGGCAGAUGGCCUCAAAGCGAGGGAGCGGCGACACCCAGCCAACGCAUCCAGCUUUCAAGCACAGCGUCAAGGGCAGCAAAGGGCCCGUAAAUAUUUCAUACAAACACUCGGAAACGGCGUGUGUGUGUGUGUGUGUGUGUGCACGCGGGCCUGGGCCAAAUCAAAGGCACGGUGGAUGACCGGUUAGCACAUCUGCCUCACAGUUCUGGGGACCGGGGUUCAAAGCUGGCCCCGCCUGUGUGGAGUUUGCAUGUUCCCCCCGUGCCUGGAUGGCUUUUCUCCAGGCGCUCCGCUUUCCUCCCACAUCCCAAAAGCGUGCGUGCUGGGUUAAGUGAAGACUCUAAAUUGCCCGUAGGUUGUUUGUUUGUAUGUGCCCUGCGAUUGGCUGGCGACCGGUUCAGGGUGUACCCCGCCUCUCACCCCAAGAUAGGUGGGAUGGGCUCCGGCAGCCCGCGACCCGAGUGAGGAGAAGCGGUCAAGAAAAUGGAUGGAUGGAUGAAACCUUGGCCCGCUGCGUCUGCUUCUACUUUGGAAUCACGCACUCAGUGCAAAACCACACCGAGGCGUCCCAACGCUCCCAACAAGCUUGGCCCUGAAGGCAUCGGGUCUUAAUAAACGGCUUCUGGUACUAGUCCAUCGAAAUAAGAACAAAAAUGGUGAACAGCGAUCUGCCACAGAUUUUGCGGUUCACCAUUGACAAGAGCAAGAAGAAGAAAAAGGAAAAGGUUUGUAUGGGUUGCUGCUCUGUUUGAAGGCUUAUCGAUCAUCUAUGCUCAUUUCUGUUACCCCAUCUAUGGCAUUUCACAUUGAAAGUUAGCAUUAAGCUUGCAAACUUUCAUCAGAAGGAUUUAUAUGGUUUAGUUGAAUAUUUUGAUGUUUAAAUAUAUCAUGUUUAAUUAAUUCUCUUUUGUUUCAUGUGCCAGUCUUUGUCUUGUAUGAAAACUUUGUAACGUAAAUAAAUAUUUGUAGUUUUUUUUAUUAUUAUUUAAAAUUACAUUCAUUAAUUUCUUCUUUUUUUUAAAAAAUCUAUCCAC